Molecule: ribosomal RNA, 376 nt
Filed under: uncultured bacterium
Lineage: Bacteria
Description: bacterial SSU rRNA
Rfam family: Bacterial small subunit ribosomal RNA
Source: RNAcentral
AUACGUAGGGGGCAAGCGUUGUCCGGAAUUAUUGGGCGUAAAGCGCGCGCAGGCGGCCUUUUAAGUCUGGGGUAUAAUCCCGGGGCUCAACCCCGGUUCGCCUUGGAAACUGGGAGGCUUGAGUGCAGGAGAGGGAAGUGGAAUUCCACGUGUAGCGGUGAUAUGCGUAGAGAUGUGGAGGAACACCAGUGGCGAAGGCGACUUCCUGGCCUGUAACUGACGCUGAGGCGCGAAAGCGUGGGGAGCGAACAGGAUUAGAUACCCUGGUAGUCCACGCCGUAAACGAUGAGUGCUAGGUGUUGGGGGCUUCGAUACCCUCGGUGCCGAAGUCAACACAGUAAGCACUCCGCCUGGGGAGUACGUUCGCAAGAAUGAA